UACGUAGGGAGCAAGCGUUGUCCGGAAUCAUUGGGCGUAAAGCGCGCGUAGGUGGCCUCAUAAGUCCGCUGUGAAAGUCAAAGGCUCAACCUUUGAAAGCCGGUGGAUACUGUGAGGCUAGAGUACGGAAGAGGUGAGUGGAAUUCCUGGUGUAGCGGUGGAAUGCGCAGAUAUCAGGAGGAACACCAAUAGCGAAGGCAGCUCGCUGGGACGUUACUGACACUGAGGCGCGAAAGCGUGGGGAGCGAACAGG
Molecule: ribosomal RNA, 253 nt
Filed under: uncultured bacterium
Lineage: Bacteria
Description: partial 16S ribosomal RNA
Rfam family: Bacterial small subunit ribosomal RNA
Source: RNAcentral